UCUCAUUUAGCUUAAGAAGAGCAUCUUAUUGAAGAUAAGAAGGUAUUUUUGAGAA
RNAcentral lists this transfer RNA (55 nucleotides) under Songthela hangzhouensis. RNAcentral's name for it is "tRNA-Phe". The record is from RNAcentral. Lineage: Eukaryota; Metazoa; Arthropoda; Arachnida; Araneae; Liphistiidae.